Molecule: ribosomal RNA, 253 nt
Filed under: uncultured bacterium
Lineage: Bacteria
Description: partial 16S ribosomal RNA
Rfam family: Bacterial small subunit ribosomal RNA
Source: RNAcentral
UACGAAGGGGGCUAGCGUUGCUCGGAAUUACUGGGCGUAAAGGGCGCGUAGGCGGACAGUUUAGUCAGAGGUGAAAGCCCAGGGCUCAACCUUGGAAUUGCCUUUGAUACUGGCUGUCUUGAGUUCGGGAGAGGUGAGUGGAAUGCCGAGUGUAGAGGUGAAAUUCGUAGAUAUCAAGCGGAACACCGGUGGCGAAGGCGGCCUUCUGGACAGUGACUGACGCUGAGACGCGAAAGCGUGGGGAGCAAACAGG